RNAcentral lists this ribosomal RNA (301 nucleotides) under uncultured bacterium. RNAcentral's name for it is "partial 16S ribosomal RNA". It matches the Rfam family "Bacterial small subunit ribosomal RNA", at positions 509 to 807 of the family's 1533-position model. The record is from RNAcentral.
CAGCCGCCGCGGUAAUGCGUAGGUGGCAAGCGUUGUCCGGAAUUAUUGGGCGUAAAGGGCUCGCAGGCGGUUUCUUAAGUCUGAUGUGAAAGCCCCCGGCUCAACCGGGGAGGGUCAUUGGAAACUGGGAAACUUGAGUGCAGAAGAGGAGAGUGGAAUUCCACGUGUAGCGGUGAAAUGCGUAGAGAUGUGGAGGAACACCAGUGGCGAAGGCGACUCUCUGGUCUGUAACUGACGCUGAGGAGCGGAAGCGUGGGGAGCGAACAGGAUUAGAUACCCGCGUAGUCCCUGUCUCUUAUAC